ACUCGUUGGACCCGGGGGCAGUACCCGGCGCCUCCACCAAAAUAUAAGAAAAAAUUAUAUUUUGGUGGGGGCGAAAUAGGAUCGACAAGAGCGUAAAGAUUGCUCUUUUACUCGGCAUAGUACCACCGUUAUCGGACUAAAUGAGUAGUUGCAAAUGACAACUAUGCGGAAGCACGUCUCGCCGCUUAAGGUGGUGUGAAUGUUUCAAAUUAAGUCUUAAACCGUCGCAGGUUUAAGCGGGGUUUGAAGG
RNAcentral lists this transfer-messenger RNA (250 nucleotides) under Bartonella vinsonii subsp. berkhoffii. RNAcentral describes it as "partial ssrA". It matches the Rfam family "Alphaproteobacteria transfer-messenger RNA", at positions 81 to 331 of the family's 355-position model. From Rfam's summary of the family: Bacterial tmRNA, also known as 10Sa RNA or SsrA, is named for its dual tRNA and mRNA-like properties. Lineage: Bacteria; Pseudomonadati; Pseudomonadota; Alphaproteobacteria; Hyphomicrobiales; Bartonellaceae. The record is from RNAcentral.